UACGUAGGUCACAAGCGUUAUCCGGAAUUAUUGGGCGUAAAGGGUUUUUAGGUGGUAAUGCGGGUCUUUGGUGAAAUCCCCAAGCUCAACUUGGGUUUCGCCAAAGAAACUACAUUGCUUGAGGGUAGCAGGGGCACAUGGAAUACCCGGUGUAGCAGUGAAAUGCGUUGAUAUCAGAUAGAACACCAAUGGCGAAGGCAGUUACCUGGCUCAAAACUGACGCUAAAGCACGAAAGUGUGGGGAGCAAACAGG
Molecule: ribosomal RNA, 253 nt
Filed under: uncultured bacterium
Lineage: Bacteria
Description: partial 16S ribosomal RNA
Rfam family: Bacterial small subunit ribosomal RNA
Source: RNAcentral